RNAcentral lists this long non-coding RNA (631 nucleotides) under Olea europaea subsp. europaea. The record is from RNAcentral. Lineage: Eukaryota; Viridiplantae; Streptophyta; Magnoliopsida; Lamiales; Oleaceae.
UGGCUUUGGAUGGUCAAUAGGGGCGGAGGCAAGAAUAUUUUUCAGUGCAGGCACAAUUUAAUGCCGAAUUUUGAGUUUUUGACUAUGAAUUUAAUGAUGAUAAAAAUAUAAAAUAAUAUUACGGCAAUACUAAAAAUGACACAGCUAAGCCAAUCACCUUGCAGUUGGCAGUAGCACGCUUCUCAAGAACUGAAGCCUGUGAUUUGUAUAUGAAACAUUCUUUAAUAUCACAUGAUUCACAUCUUUCCUCUUUCCUCUUUCCUGGGAAAACCACCAACCAUCACUGUAAUGUUGAGUCCAUUGUAUACUUCAACAACAUUAGUUGUUGCAACACCACUUGAUUUAAAUAGAUACAAGUUAUCUACUUUUAAGUUUUAACUUAUAUCUCAUCUGGCACACAAAAUGUCAAAAUACAUGAAACUAUUUACUAUUAUUUUCACUACUUAGGAGUAAAUUACUAACCUUUGAGAAGAGGGAAUGCAUCAUUGACCAAUCCCAUCUCACCCCAUUAAGUGCCUCAGCAGCAGGAGGAAUAUCUAGCAUGUGAAGGAAUAAGGAUGAUGGAUCGGUCAGUGCCCAACAUCACAUCCCUAGCAAUCAUAAGAGCAAGAGCAUAUCCAAUUUGCCCUAC